UGCUAAAAUACUUAGUUGAGUUGGAUGUCUCAUUCACAAGCAUUGUGGAGUUGCCAAAUAGCAUUGUCAAUCUAAAGAGGUUGAAAGUGUUGAAGAUUGGCGGAGUUGCAUGCAAAAGUUACCUAAUGCCAUUGGGAUGAUGGAAAAACUUGAGGAAAUUUAUGGAGAGGAUUGCCGGAUGUAGAAGUGAUUCCUAAUGAUAUUAUGAGACUACCAUUCUUGCGGAUUUUGAAAUUAACAGGAACUUGUGAUAUGAAUGUACCAAAGCUUCCACAGAGUUGGGUGGCUACAAAAUCGAAGGUCAUUGAUUUGUCGUACUGCAAAACAUUGAAAGAAAUUCCUGAGCUUUCUGCAUUUUUAUCCUUAGAUAAAUUAAUUCUAAAGGGGUGUGAAAUGCUUACGAAACUUUCGACUCGUCGGAAUGCUCAAAUACUUAGUUGAGUUGGAUGUCUCAUUCACAAGCAUUGUGGAGUUGCCAAAUAGCAUUGUCAAUUUAAAGAGUUUGAAAGUGUUGAAGAUUGGCGGUAGUUGCAUGCAAAAGUUAGCUGAUGCCAUUGGGAUGAUGGAAAAACUUGAGGAAAUUUAUGGAGAGGAUUGCCGGAAUGCUAGAAGUGAUUUCUAGUGAUAUUAUGAGACUACCAUUCUUGCGGAUUUUGAAAUUAACAGGAACUUGUGUGGAGAAUGUACCAAAGCUUCCACAGAGUUCGGUGGCUACAAGAUUGAAGGUCCUUGAUCUGUCGUACUGCAGAAUGUUGAAAGAAAUUCCUGAGCUCUCUGCAUUUUUAUCCUUAGAAAAAUUAAUUCUAAAGGGGUGUGAAAUGCUUACGAAACUUUCCGACUCGAUUGGAAUGCUGAAAUACUUAGUUGAGUUGGAUGUCUCUUGCACAAGUAUUGUAGAGUUGCCAAAUAGCAUUGUGAAUCUAAAGAGCUUGGUAGUGUUGGAGAUUGGUGGCGUUGCAUGCAAAAGUUACCGAUGCCGGUGGGAUGAUGGAGAAACUUGAGUAAAUUUAUGGAGAGGGUUGCAAGAAGCUAGAAGUGAUUCCUAGUGAUAUUGUGAGAUUAACAUCCUUGCAGAUUUUGGAAUCAAUAGAGACUCGUGUGGAGAAUGUACCAAUGCUUCUAGAGAAUUUGGUUAGUCUAUGUCUAUCCUCACAUGUUUUAGAAAAAGAUUUGGAUAUCUCUAAUUUAGUGAGUAAAAAAGCUGAAAUUAUGUUUUCCCAUAACAUUGUAGAUGUUAUUGUUUAUGAGAGUAGUGUUGGUCA
Eucalyptus grandis is the source of this 1262-nucleotide RNA transcript. It is a transcript of the gene named disease resistance protein TAO1-like, with no coding region annotated. The record is from RefSeq and is a predicted model, not a curated record. Lineage: Eukaryota; Viridiplantae; Streptophyta; Magnoliopsida; Myrtales; Myrtaceae. The transcript has 3 exons.